Long non-coding RNA from Parus major (Great Tit), 476 nucleotides. RefSeq lists it as uncharacterized. The record is from RefSeq and is a predicted model, not a curated record. The transcript is spliced from 3 exons. Lineage: Eukaryota; Metazoa; Chordata; Aves; Passeriformes; Paridae.
GCACACCCAUGAGUGUGGUCUCCUCCAUAACACCUCCUGACACUCAUGUGAGACAAAGGAAUAUUUCAGGACUCCAAUGAACACACAUUUCAUUGUCAUGGUUUUCCCUCAUCCUGUUAAGUAAAAUGUAAUAGUUCCAUCCAGUGGUCUUCCCCAGCAUUGCAGAACAGAGAUCAGAAAGUAAAGCGAAGACAUCUUUGCACCAAACUAAUUGCAAAAAUGACCUAACAUCAAUGGGAAGGGCAGAAAUGACUUCCUGAACUCACACACAUCCAGAGGAUCCAAUACAGAAGUCACUAUGCUAAAAAACGCAAAAGCACAGACAAAGAGACUCUCUCCUAGGAUCUCUCAAGCAUUGUUUAUGUCCCCCAAAUGUUUCAGCUGGAAGUGUCAAUUCCAGAUGUAUUGGUCACAGAUGACUGACAGCAACUUCUGUAGCUCAGAUACAACUGGGAAAUAAAAAGCAUAACAUUUUU